RNAcentral lists this ribosomal RNA (791 nucleotides) under uncultured archaeon. RNAcentral's name for it is "bacterial SSU rRNA". It matches the Rfam family "Archaeal small subunit ribosomal RNA", at positions 85 to 879 of the family's 1478-position model. The record is from RNAcentral.
ACGGCUCAGUAACACGUAGUCAACAUGCCCAGGGGACGUGGAUAACCUCGGGAAACUGAGGAUAAACCGCGAUAAGUCAUUACUUCUGGAAUGGGUAAUGAUUAAAAUCUACAUGGCCCCUGGAUUGGACUGCGGCCGAUCAGGCUGUUGGUGAGGUAAUGGCCCACCAAACCUGUAACCGGUACGGGCUCCGAGAGGAGGAGCCCGGAGAUGGGCACUGAGACAAGGGCCCAGGCCCUAUGGGGCGCAGCAGGCGCGAAACCUCUGCAAUAGGCGAAAGCCUGACAGGGUUACUCUGAGUGAUUUCCGUUAAGGAGAUCUUUUGGCACCUCUAAAAAUGGUGCAGAAUAAGGGGUGGGCAAGUCUGGUGUCAGCCGCCGCGGUAAUACCAGCACCCCGAGUGGUCGGGACGUUUAUUGGGCCUAAAGCAUCCGUAGCCGGUUCUACAAGUCUUCCGUUAAAUCCACCUGCUUAACAGAUGGGCUGCGGAAGAUACUAUAGAGCUAGGAGGCGGGAGAGGCAAGCGGUACUCGAUGGGUAGGGGUAAAAUCCGUUGAUCCAUUGAAGACCACCAGUGGCGAAGGCGGCUUGCCAGAACGCGCUCGACGGUGAGGGAUGAAAGCUGGGGGAGCAAACCGGAUUAGAUACCCGGGUAGUCCCAGCUGUAAACGAUGCAGACUCGGUGAUGAGUUGGCUUCUUGCCAACUCAGUGCCGCAGGGAAGCCGUUAAGUUUGCCGCCUGGGGAGUACGGUCGCAAGACUGAAACUUAAAGGAAUUGGCGGGGGAGCAC